RNAcentral lists this small nuclear RNA (19 nucleotides) under Arabidopsis thaliana (thale cress). Its description in RNAcentral is "snRNA_16292". Lineage: Eukaryota; Viridiplantae; Streptophyta; Magnoliopsida; Brassicales; Brassicaceae. The record is from RNAcentral.
GUAGGAUAAGUGGGAGCUU